This 28-nucleotide small RNA is filed under the name Bombyx mori (domestic silkworm). RNAcentral's name for it is "ovarian small RNA-11235". The record is from RNAcentral. Lineage: Eukaryota; Metazoa; Arthropoda; Insecta; Lepidoptera; Bombycidae.
ACCAGUUCCGAUGACAAGACGCUGUCAA